This 468-nucleotide ribosomal RNA is filed under the name uncultured bacterium. RNAcentral describes it as "partial 16S ribosomal RNA". It matches the Rfam family "Bacterial small subunit ribosomal RNA", at positions 28 to 507 of the family's 1533-position model. The record is from RNAcentral.
GACGAACGCUGGCGGCGUGCUUAACUCAUGCAAGUCGAACGGAAAGGCCCUGCUUUUGUGGGGUGCUCGAGUGGCGAACGGGUGAGUAACACGUGAGUAACCUGCCCUUGACUUUGGGAUAACUUCAGGAAACUGGGGCUAAUACCGGAUAGGAGCUCCUGCUGCAUGGUGGGGGUUGGAAAGUUUCGGCGGUUGGGGAUGGACUCGCGGCUUAUCAGCUUGUUGGUGGGGUAGUGGCUUACCAAGGCUUUGACGGGUAGCCGGCCUGAGAGGGUGACCGGCCACAUUGGGACUGAGAUACGGCCCAGACUCCUACGGGAGGCAGCAGUGGGGAAUAUUGCACAAUGGGCGGAAGCCUGAUGCAGCAACGCCGUGUGCGGGAUGACGGCCUUCGGGUUGUAAACCGCUUUCGCCUGUGACGAAGCGUGAGUGACGGUAAUGGGUAAAGAAGCACCGGCUAACUACGUG